This 425-nucleotide ribosomal RNA is filed under the name uncultured bacterium. RNAcentral's name for it is "bacterial SSU rRNA". It matches the Rfam family "Bacterial small subunit ribosomal RNA", at positions 356 to 773 of the family's 1533-position model. The record is from RNAcentral.
GGGGAAUUUUGGACAAUGGGGGCAACCCUGAUCCAGCCAUGCCGCGUGCGGGAAGAAGGCCUUCGGGUUGUAAACCGCUUUUAGUCGGGAAGAAAAGGCGUCGUCUAAUAAACGGCGUUCUUGACGGUACCGGCGGAAUAAGCACCGGCUAACUACGUGCCAGCAGCCGCGGUAAUACGUAGGGUGCGAGCGUUAAUCGGAAUUACUGGGCGUAAAGCGUGCGCAGGCGGUUCGUUAAGUUCGAUGUGAAAGCCCCGGGCUCAACCUGGGAACUGCAUUGGAAACUGGCGAGCUUGAGUGUGGCAGAGGGGGGUGGAAUUCCGCGUGUAGCAGUGAAAUGCGUAGAGAUGCGGAGGAACACCGAUGGCGAAGGCAGCCCCCUGGGCCAACACUGACGCUCAGGCACGAAAGCGUGGGGAGCAAAC